This 308-nucleotide ribosomal RNA is filed under the name uncultured eukaryote. RNAcentral's name for it is "partial 18S ribosomal RNA". It matches the Rfam family "Eukaryotic small subunit ribosomal RNA", at positions 1470 to 1796 of the family's 1831-position model. The record is from RNAcentral.
CCCUUAGACGUUCUGGGCCGCACGCGCGCUACACUGACGAAGGCAACGAGCUUUCCUUUACCGAAAGGUACGGGUAAUCUUUUGAAACUUCUUCGUGCUGGGGAUAGAUCCUUGCAAUUUUUGAUCUUAAACGAGGAAUGCCUAGUAAGCGCAAGUCAUCAACUUGCGUUGAUUACGUCCCUGCCCUUUGUACACACCGCCCGUCGCUACUACCGAUUGAAUGGUUUAGUGAGGCCUUCGGAUCCGCGACUCGUUUUGUGGAGAAGUUGGACAAACUCAGUCAUUUAGAGGAAGUAAAAGUCGUAACA